UACGUAGGGACCGAGCGUUAUCCGGAUUCAUUGGGCGUAAAGAGCUCGUAGGCGGCUAUUCAAGUCGAACGUGAAAUCUCGGAGCUCAACUCCGAGCCUGCGUUCGAUACUGGGUAGCUAGAGUCUGGUAGGGGGAUCUGGAAUUCCUGGUGUAGCGGUGGAAUGCGCAGAUAUCAGGAGGAACACCGGUGGCGAAGGCGGGAUCCUGGGCCAGUACUGACGCUGAGGAGCGAAAGCGUGGGGAGCGAACAGG
This 253-nucleotide ribosomal RNA is filed under the name uncultured bacterium. Its description in RNAcentral is "partial 16S ribosomal RNA". It matches the Rfam family "Bacterial small subunit ribosomal RNA", at positions 524 to 776 of the family's 1533-position model. The record is from RNAcentral.